GGGGAAUCUUCCGCAAUGGGCGAAAGCCUGACGGAGCAACGCCGCGUGGGUGAAGAAGGCCUUCGGGUUGUAAAGCCCUGUCUUCAGGGAAGAAAAAAAUGACGGUACCUGAGGAGGAAGCCACGGCUAACUACGUGCCAGCAGCCGCGGUAAUACGUAGGUGGCAAGCGUUGUCCGGAAUCAUUGGGCGUAAAGGGCGCGUAGGCGGUUAAUUAAGUCAGAUGUGAAAACUCUGGGCUCAACCCGGAGAUUGCAUUUGAUACUGGUUAACUUGAGUGCAGGAGAGGACAGUGGAAUUCCUAGUGUAGCGGUGAAAUGCGUAGAUAUUAGGAGGAACACCAGUGGCGAAGGCGGCUGUCUGGACUGUAACUGACGCUGAGGCGCGAAAGCGUGGGGAGCAAAC
Molecule: ribosomal RNA, 403 nt
Filed under: uncultured bacterium
Lineage: Bacteria
Description: bacterial SSU rRNA
Rfam family: Bacterial small subunit ribosomal RNA
Source: RNAcentral